UACUCGAGUGGCGAACGGGUGAGUAACACGUGGGUGAUCUGCCCUGCACUUCGGGAUAAGCUUGGGAAACUGGGUCUAAUACCGGAUAGGACCGCACUUUAGUGUGUGUGGUGGAAAGUUUUUUCGGUGUAGGAUGAGCCCGCGGCCUAUCAGCUUGUUGGUGGGGUAAUGGCCUACCAAGGCGGCGACGGGUAGCCGGCCUGAGAGGGUGUACGGCCACAUUGGGACUGAGAUACGGCCCAG
RNAcentral lists this ribosomal RNA (243 nucleotides) under uncultured Actinomycetales bacterium. Its description in RNAcentral is "partial 16S ribosomal RNA". It matches the Rfam family "Bacterial small subunit ribosomal RNA", at positions 88 to 334 of the family's 1533-position model. Lineage: Bacteria; Bacillati; Actinomycetota; Actinomycetes; Actinomycetales. The record is from RNAcentral.